AAAAUUUUAUUUGAAUCUUAGAUUUUAGUGAAAACGCUAAAAUAUAUCUUUUAGACGAUAAGACCCUAAAAUCUUUUUAUUUUUUAUUGGGAUGAUCCGAUUUUUAACAAACUCUCUUUAAAUUUCACGAACCUUAAAUAAGCUUAAAGCUUAAGAUACUUUAGGGAUAACAGCUUUUAUUCUUUAACAAGCUCUCAUUAAUAAAGUUUUAAAGACCUCGAUGUUGAAUUAAUCCCYYYUGGGCCGCAAARGGCCAUUUYCUUUA
Molecule: ribosomal RNA, 265 nt
Filed under: Kroyeria papillipes
Lineage: Eukaryota; Metazoa; Arthropoda; Copepoda; Siphonostomatoida; Kroyeriidae
Description: partial 16S ribosomal RNA
Source: RNAcentral